AUUCACGCCUGGAAAACGCUCUUCUGAGAGGAUCUGUGGAGGUCAACCCAGGAGAGAGAAGACAGGACUGAAGCACUGAAAGGGUCCUGCCGUUAAGGGCGCAGGAUUGUAUAGAAUAUAUAAUAGCAGUAGCAGCUCUGUUUACGGAGCAUUAACCUUACGUGGAGUUAUUUCCUGCAUUUCCUCCUUUCGUCUUUACAAGGUAGCCGUUUGGCGUCGUGAGAGAUUGGGUCUCUCCACAUUGCCCCGGCUGCUCUCCAACCCCUGAGUUCAAGUGAUUCACCUCCCUUGGCCUCCCAAAGUACUGGGAUUACAGGCGUGAGCCACCGUGCCUGGCUGAGAAGAUGGAUUUAAGACAUAUUUUGGAGCGGAAAGUGACCAGAAGAGGUGUGCAGUUUCCAGGCCUGGCCCAUACAGACCUCCAACAGGUGCUCCCCUGUGCUGUUACUCCUUCUGCCAACUGGAAGCAGAUGGUGACCAGGCUCUGGAGAAGGCAAGGCCUGAAGAUGGGAGAUUCCUAAGUGGAGGAGAACUGUGCCUUACUGACCUAAAUAUCCACUCAGUAUUGUUAUGUGAGAAUAAAUAAACUUGUGUUGACCGUU
RNAcentral lists this long non-coding RNA (602 nucleotides) under Homo sapiens (human). RNAcentral describes it as "non-protein coding MAPKAPK5-AS1:15". The record is from RNAcentral. Lineage: Eukaryota; Metazoa; Chordata; Mammalia; Primates; Hominidae.